Molecule: ribosomal RNA, 1573 nt
Filed under: Escherichia coli
Lineage: Bacteria; Pseudomonadati; Pseudomonadota; Gammaproteobacteria; Enterobacterales; Enterobacteriaceae
Description: partial 23S ribosomal RNA
Rfam family: Bacterial large subunit ribosomal RNA
Source: RNAcentral
GAAUGCUGACAUAAGUAACGAUAAAGCGGGUGAAAAGCCCGCUCGCCGGAAGACCAAGGGUUCCUGUCCAACGUUAAUCGGGGCAGGGUGAGUCGACCCCUAAGGCGAGGCCGAAAGGCGUAGUCGAUGGGAAACAGGUUAAUAUUCCUGUACUUGGUGUUACUGCGAAGGGGGGACGGAGAAGGCUAUGUUGGCCGGGCGACGGUUGUCCCGGUUUAAGCGUGUAGGCUGGUUUUCCAGGCAAAUCCGGAAAAUCAAGGCUGAGGCGUGAUGACGAGGCACUACGGUGCUGAAGCGACAAAUGCCCUGCUUCCAGGAAAAGCCUCUAAGCAUCAGGUAACAUCAAAUCGUACCCCAAACCGACACAGGUGGUCAGGUAGAGAAUACCAAGGCGCUUGAGAGAACUCGGGUGAAGGAACUAGGCAAAAUGGUGCCGUAACUUCGGGAGAAGGCACGCUGAUAUGUAGGUGAAGCGACUUGCUCGUGGAGCUGAAAUCAGUCGAAGAUACCAGCUGGCUGCAACUGUUUAUUAAAAACACAGCACUGUGCAAACACGAAAGUGGACGUAUACGGUGUGACGCCUGCCCGGUGCCGGAAGGUUAAUUGAUGGGGUUAGCGGUAACGCGAAGCUCUUGAUCGAAGCCCCGGUAAACGGCGGCCGUAACUAUAACGGUCCUAAGGUAGCGAAAUUCCUUGUCGGGUAAGUUCCGACCUGCACGAAUGGCGUAAUGAUGGCCAGGCUGUCUCCACCCGAGACUCAGUGAAAUUGAACUCGCUGUGAAGAUGCAGUGUACCCGCGGCAAGACGGAAAGACCCCGUGAACCUUUACUAUAGCUUGACACUGAACAUUGAGCCUUGAUGUGUAGGAUAGGUGGGAGGCUUUGAAGUGUGGACGCCAGUCUGCAUGGAGCCGACCUUGAAAUACCACCCUUUAAUGUUUGAUGUUCUAACGUGGGCCCCUUACCGGGGUUGCGGACAGUGUCUGGUGGGUAGUUUGACUGGGGCGGUCUCCUCCUAAAGAGUAACGGAGGAGCACGAAGGUUGGCUAAUCCUGGUCGGACAUCAGGAGGUUAGUGCAAUGGCAUAAGCCAGCUUGACUGCGAGCGUGACGGCGCGAGCAGGUGCGAAAGCAGGUCAUAGUGAUCCGGUGGUUCUGAAUGGAAGGGCCAUCGCUCAACGGAUAAAAGGUACUCCGGGGAUAACAGGCUGAUACCGCCCAAGAGUUCAUAUCGACGGCGGUGUUUGGCACCUCGAUGUCGGCUCAUCACAUCCUGGGGCUGAAGUAGGUCCCAAGGGUAUGGCUGUUCGCCAUUUAAAGUGGUACGCGAGCUGGGUUUAGAACGUCGUGAGACAGUUCGGUCCCUAUCUGCCGUGGGCGCUGGAGAACUGAGGGGGGCUGCUCCUAGUACGAGAGGACCGGAGUGGACGCAUCACUGGUGUUCGGGUUGUCAUGCCAAUGGCACUGCCCGGUAGCUAAAUGCGGAAGAGAUAAGUGCUGAAAGCAUCUAAGCACGAAACUUGCCCCGAGAUGAGUUCUCCCUGACUCCUUGAGAGUCCUGAAGGAACGUUGAAG